Molecule: ribosomal RNA, 1788 nt
Filed under: groundwater metagenome
Description: bacterial LSU rRNA
Rfam family: Archaeal large subunit ribosomal RNA (bases 1-1438)
Source: RNAcentral
AAGGAGUUUCCGGUCUAAAACAGCUGGAAGGUAGGCUUAGAAGCAGCCAUCCUUUAAACAACGCGUAAUAGCGGACCAGUCUAGAUCGCAGAUUCCGAAGAUGAUCGGGGCUAAGCCUAUUACCGACACCUUGGAGCUGCAUUUUUGGUGCAGUUUGGUAGGGGGGCGGACGGGUUGGUGAGAAGGCGGGCCGUAAGGUCCGCUGGACCGGCCUGUCAUGAAUAUCCUGGUACUAGUAACAGCAUAUCCAGGCGAGAAUCCUGGACGCCGCAGAGCACACGGAUUUCUGGGCCAUGUUCUUCAGCCCAGAGUAAGGCGAUCCUAAGCGCACGGGUAAUUCCCAUUGCGCAAAAGGGAAACGGGUUAAGAUUCCCGUCCUUAUUUGGUAGACGUGGCAACGCAAUGCGCAUUCCUGACGAUUUGGGGUAGGCUUGACAGAGGAGACUCUGUCUAACCAUUGCAAUACAGUCGAGACUCAUUGGGAGGAGAAGCUGUAUAACUUUGGGUAGAUAAUCCAAGCCGAUCCCCGGAUCCCAUGAAAAGGGAAUGCGUACGACCCAAAUAAAUCGUACCUAGAACUAUUACAGGUGCUGCUGGCAGAAAAAGCCAAGGCGUGGCAGGACGACUCAGCUAAGGGAACUCGGCAAAAUAGUAGCUUAACUUCGGAAUAAGCUAUGCCUGCUUAUGUGAAUAGCAUUUGCAGGCCUCAGUAACAUGGGGAGGUCGACUGUUUAUCAAAAACACAGCUCACAGCUUAAUCGGAAACGAUGUAUAUUGUGGGCGAUGCCUGCUCACUACUGGUACGUGAAAACCUGUUUCAACGGGUCGAAGCGCCAGCAAAGAGCGGGGGUAACUCUGACCCUCUUAAGGUAGCGUAAUACCUCGCCGCUUAAUUGGUGGCUUGCAUGAAUGGCAUAACGAGCCUCCCACUGUCCCUAGCUGGGACCUGGUGAACUUACUACUCUGUGAGUAUGCAGAGGACUUCCAGGGGGAAACGAAGACCCCAUGGAGCUUUACUAUAGCCUGAUGUUGUGAUGUAUGGGUGCUAACGCAGCGUAAAUGGGAGCCGUCAUGCGCAUUCUCUCGGGGAUGCGAUAGGCGAAAGUGUAACACCAUUUUAGCAUUUGUACAUUGCUUACGGCAACGGACAGCGUCAGGUGGAUAGUUUGGCUGGGGCGGUACGCCCUCGAUAAGGAAACAAGGGUUCCCAAUGUUCAGCUUAGGUGCGUCGGAAAUGCACUGUAAAGGGUUAAAGACAAAUGCUGGGCUGACGGUAUUCCGAAAAGCGUGGAAUGCCGAGACGAAAGUCGGGCUUAAUGAACCUUGGUGCCCCGUUGUUGAGGGCCCAAGCUGUAAGACAAGCUACCCUGGGGGUAAUUCUACCCGCAACAUUUUUGCUUGGAACUAGCGUUCCAAGGCGCACAAAAUUUUCAAUUUUGUGCUUGCGGUAAUUACUUAGGUAUCUUCAGUUACCUGGAAAGUUCAAUUUAGGAUUUUUGCAAUUUUAUAGCAUACUUGCCAUAAUUUUGCAAGCGGCGCAAAUCUUACGCGCCGUCAAAAUCAUAUUGUUGUUGGUAGGACUCGAAACAGGCUCGUCGCGGGCGAGAGAUGGGCAAAUGCCUAUUUUUUGUGCGUCGAACCUAGGUCUUGUUUUCCCUGAAAGUUCUCUUCAAAAAUCAUUCGAUGAUGGCACUUCUUGACGGCUUCACGGCCUCUUGAAGCUGCCGAAGGCAUAUAUGGUAUUGCUAGCCUUAGCCGGCUGUCAAACCAUACUUGUCGAGUCUUUGG